UAACUAUUUAUGACAUUCUAGGCACAUUGAGCACUGCUACUCUUGAAUUAUGUUAUCUAUGUACGUUGGACAUGGUGCCCCUAAUUGUACAGUAUGAAUGGCCAAUAUAGAUACGAGCCUCCAUCCGAGCUCUAUUUCCAGAUAGAGAAUGCUUCACCCUUUGUACGGCCUUUGAACAACGAACAUGAUCUACAGAGACUUGACGAAAUUCAGUUGGACAAAUUAAGGCCUGAAUUCAGAGCCGGGCUAGACACAUUGACAAGGUUUGUUUUUGAAAGAACAAGGCCGAAGCAAGUUGGGGCAACUAUGAUGACGAGCAACGCAUUCUUAUCUUGAUGCUCUAAAUAAAGGCGCGGUGCCUACCAUAUCGGCUUCAUGGCAGGAUUGUAAAAGGAAUUAAUGCAUAUAUGGAGGCAGAGUUGCAAUGUUCAAAUACUGCAAUGCACAUGAUGAGGUCCCAGUUCUACUUCAUGUCAUUGUCCUCCUUCUUUUCAACUUCCAGUCGUUUUACCAGUAUCUCCUACAUCACCUGUCACACAACCUAGCCUACAAAACCAAUCGGCAUCUUCUUCACCAAUGCAGCCUUCAGCUGCUACUCCUCCUCCUCGCCCUCAGCACAUGUUGCCUCUCCUGAAUGAAGCCAUGGAAAGGAAGCUGAGAAUAGCUUGCCAUGCAAGUGAUGCUAAUAUUGAUAAUGUUCUGAAGGUUCUUGAUGGUCUUCUAUUCUACUAUGAACCAGCAAGUCACGGUCCAGAAAAUGGCAGAAACUGACCAUUUUCUUACAAAGGGGGUUUGUCUAUUGUCUUUAUUUUGCUUUUUUAUUAUUAUUAUUUAUUAAUGUAUGAGUGUGUAUUAAUAUGUAUUGCAUGCAAUCCAAAUUCACAAUUUGGAAGGUCCAAUACUUAACCUUGCCAAGAGACUGAUUGGCCAAGCUGGAUCAGAGAAGAGUACUCUCAUGUUGAGAUGCCGCUCAAUAGAAGAUAAGUUGGGGUUACUGAACCAGAAGCUGGAGUCUAGUAAGAAGUCUGAAUAUUUGAAGUGUUGUGAGGAUGCUGUCAAUGACAAGAAGAAGUUAGUUGAUGAAUCUAUAGGCUGCAUAAAUAACUUAGAGAGUAAUUCCAGCUCACUGGGUGAGAAAUGUUCUAGCUUAGUUAAAACAUUGGAUUUUGCAAAAGGAUUUUAGAGAAAAGAAAGUACAAACAGGUCAUAUCAAAGCAGAAGGCUGAGGAAGAUCAAGCUAGUUCUGAAAUUGCAAUUCUUAAGUCCCGAUGCAGUGCUGAUGAAGCAAGGCUAGCUGCUGCUCGGGAAGAAGCUCAGUCUGCUCAAGGGGAGGCUCAAGAGUGGAAACGCAAGUAUGACAUUGCUUUUAGAGAAGCAAAAGCUGCUCUAGAGAAAGCUGCAAUUGUCCAAGAACGUCGAAUAAAGAAACACAAAAGAGUGAAGAUGCUUUGAGGGAAGAAUUCGCUAGUAGUUUGGCUGAUAAGACUGCCAAAGCAAAAGUAGACAGUUAUGAUUCUGAAAUAUCAUCGCUGAAGCUUGAAAUCAAGGACUUAAGUCAAAAAUUAGAAGCUGCAAAUGCAAAGGCCCAUUUAUUUGAGAGAGAAAAAAAGAUAUUGGAGCAGGAGAAGAUCUUUCUGGGGCAGAAAUGCGAAUCUGAAAUAAAAAGACUUGACGAAGUCAAAGAAACGUGUAAAAUCGCUGAAAAAGAAGCCACAUGAGUGACUGAUAUUGCCGAUAAAGCACGAGCUCAAGCGGAUGUUGCUCAAAAGGAAAAGAGUGAGAUGCAAAAGUUGGCAAUGGAAAGAUUGGCCCAAAUUGAGAGGGCUGAGAGGCAUAUUGAAAGUUUGCAAAGGGAAAAAAGAGACUCGGAUGAUGAGUUAGAGAGAAUUCGUGUAUCAGAGAUGGGAGCUCAUUUGAAAGUUGCUCUUCUGGAGGCAAGAGUUGAAGAAAGAGAGAAGGAAAUAGAAUCAUUAUUAAAAUCCAAUAAUGAGCAGAGAACUAGUACUGUUCACGUCCUUCAAGGCCUUCUGGACAGUGAGCGUGCAGCACACGCAGAUGCAAACAAUAGGGCAGACUCCCUGUCUCUUCAGCUACAAGCUGCACAGGUAAAACUUGAUUCACUCCAGCAAGAGUUGACUUCUGUUCGGCUGAAUGAAACAGCACUGGAUAGCAAGCUAAGAGUGCUUCUCACGGGAAAUGCUCAAGGGUAGAUGACUAUGAAAUGGGCAUGGACUCUGUUCAAGAGUAAAUAAGAGGUCUAGAAGUACUACUAGCCCUCUAAAGUACACACAAGCAGAAGAUGGUGGUUCGGUAUUCAAGGGAGAUGAGGAUACCUGCAGUCAGCAAACUAACUGGGAAGACUAUAGAAAGUUCACUGUCACAAAAAUUAAGCAAGAACUCACAAAAUAUAAUUUUGGUGCCCGAGUGCUGGAUAUGAGAGCUGGUGCUAGCAAAAGAGAAUGGCUUGAACUCUACGAGAGUUGUAUGCUUCAGAAGUCGUGACCAGUUGAAGCUCUUGUGCAGUAGGAGGGUAAUGCGUAAUCUACACAGGUAGUUGUUGCCGUGGAUUAGUCCAGGACCUAGCAAGAGCUUUAAGUUCUCGAUGGUUUGGUUUUAUGAUAGAUCUCACCAGAAUUGGUACAAAAACUAUCUGUUAUUCUAUUGUAACUACAAAAUGGUUGGAAUAUUAGUGCUUUAGGCUACUGACAUCAGCUACUCGUUAGGUGACGUACUGUGUGGUCUAUCAUGAGCCUGUACGACGAUCUAUUAUGUGUUUGUCAGCCAACCUCUACCUCUCUGUGUUUUGUGGGCAAAAACUUGUUAGUAGUGUAUUGCUGUUUGAAGAAUGAAUUUAUAAGUCCAGGUGUGGUUAUGUUAUUGAAUAUUUCAACAACUCGAAGUCAGUAUUUUGCAUUAAUCUGAUUUGGAAAUUGAACACAAAUUGCGGGAAGGUGAAACUGAUGCCGAUGGUGAGGAGGAGGAUGUCAAAUCAAUGGGGAAGUCAACCACACCCCAUAUGUUCUGCAAAAACCCUUACUGCUUUAGAUACUAGCAGUCACGGAGGCUUCUCUGUCCCUCGUCGUGCUGCUGAAGAUUGCUUUCCUCCCCUGGAUUACAAUCAACAAAGGCCUUCACAAGAACUC
Prunus avium (sweet cherry) is the source of this 3143-nucleotide non-coding RNA. NCBI's taxonomy places the organism in Eukaryota, Viridiplantae, Streptophyta, Magnoliopsida, Rosales, Rosaceae. The record is from RefSeq and is a predicted model, not a curated record.